GUGGGUAGGGGUGAAAGGCCAAUCAAACUCCGUGAUAGCUGGUUCUCCCCGAAAUAUAUUUAGGUAUAGCGUUCCAUUUUUGCUUGCGUGUGGUAGAGCUACUGGUUGGUUGAUGGGCCUUGUUGGUUACUGAGAUCUGCUAAACUCCGAAUGCGCGUUAAGUUGGUGGGGCAGUCAGACAGCGGGGGAUAAGCUUCGUUGUCGAGAGGGAAACAGCCCUGAUCAUCGGUUAAGGUCCCUAAGUGUGUGCUGAGUGGAAAAGGAUGUGUAGUUGCGUUGACAGCCAGGAGGUUGGCUUAGAAGCAGCCACCCUUGAAAGAGUGCGUAAUAGCUUACUGGUCGAGUGAUUGUGCGCCGAUAAUGUAGUGGGGCUUAAGCAUGCCACCGAAACUGUGACUACAAUGCUUUUGGUGUUGUGGGGUAGGGGAGCGUCCUGCAUUGUUGUAGCGGCCUGGUGAUGGGUCGUGUGUGGUGUGGGAGUGAGAAUGCAGGCAUGAGUAGCGAGUCCAGUGUGAGAAUCGCUGGCGCCGAUAAACUAAGGGUUCCAGGGGAAGGUUUAUCCGCCCUGGGUUAGUCGGGUCCUAAGGCGAGGCCGUCAGGCGUAGUCGAUGGUUGAGCAGUUGAUAUUCUGCUACCGGGAUCAGACCGUAUAUAGCGCUCAUUUCUUUGAGCUUGACGCCCUUUUCAGUUGUUGUUCCCUUUCGGGGGUUUAGCAUCUGUUGGGUUUUGGGUUUUUGGUUUGAGUGUUUUAGCUUCGUGGUGACACAGUGAGAUUGCCUGGCGCGGUGGUGGUUUACCGUGUUCAAGCCUGUAGCCUGUCUUCUAGGCAAAUCCGGAAGACGCAUAUGGUGAGGGGUGAUGGUGGGGCCCGUUUUUGGGUCGAUAACAGGGUUGGUCUGUACUGUCGAGAAAAGCUGCGUUGUGAGGUGUGUUUCCGCCCGUACCCUAAACCGACUCUGGUAGUUGGGUAGAGAAUACUAAGGCGAGCGAGUGAAUCGUGGUUAAGGAAUUCGGCAAAUUGCCUCCGUAACUUCGGGAGAAGGAGGCCCCACCCCUUGAAGAGCGUUUUCUGUUCUAGGGGGUGUGGGGUGCAAUAGCAAGAUGGAAGCGACUGUUUAUCAAAAACAUAGGUGCGUGCGAAGCUGUAAGGCGAGGUAUACGCACUGACGCCUGCCCGGUGCCGGAAGGUUAAGAGGAGCUGUCAGCCUUUUUUGGCGAAGCGGUGAAUUUAAGCCCCGGUAAACGGCGGUGGUAACUAUAACCAUCCUAAGGUAGCGAAAUUCCUUGUCGGGUAAGUUCCGACCUGCACGAAUGGCGUAACGACUUCUGUGCUGUCUUGACCGCGAACUCGGCGAAAUUGCAUUACGAGUAAAGAUGCUCGUUACGCGCAGCAGGACGGAAAGACCCCGGGACCUUUACUAUAGCUUGGUAUUGGUGGCUGGUUGUGUUUGUGUAGGAUAGGUGGGAGACGUUGAAGCAGUCACGCUAGUGGUUGUGGAGUCGGCAAGUGAAAUACCACUCUGAUGUUGCUGGUUAUCUGAACCUGGACCCAUUAUCUGGGUUAGGGACAGUGCCUGGUGGGUAGUUUAACUGGGGCGGUUGCCUCCUAAAUGGUAACGGAGGCGCUCAAAGGUUUCCUCAUCCUGGUUGGUAAUCAGGGUUCGAGUGUAAGUGCACAAGGAAGCUUGACUGUGACACUGACGGGUGGAGCAGGUACGAAAGUAGGAACUAGUGAUCCGGCAAUGGCUUAUGGAAGCGUUGUCGCUCAACGGAUAAAAGGUACCCCGGGGAUAACAGGCUGAUCUUGCCCAAGAGUCCAUAUCGACGGCAUGGUUUGGCACCUCGAUGUCGGCUCGUCGCAUCCUGGGGCUGGAGUUGGUCCCAAGGGUUGGGCUGUUCGCCCAUUAAAGCGGUACGCGAGCUGGGUUCAGAACGUCGUGAGACAGUUCGGUCCCUAUCCGCUGCGCGCGUUAAGACUUGAGAAAGUCCUGUCCCUAGUACGAGAGGACCGGGAUGGACGAACCUCUGGUGUGCCAGUUGUACCGCCAGGUGCAUGGCUGGUUGGCUAUGUUCGGAAAGGAUAACCGCUGAAAGCAUCUAAGCGGGAAGCCUGCUUUAAGAUGAGGUCUUUUAGGUUCCCAGCAGACUACUGGGUAGAUAGGCCAGAAGUGUACACGUUGUAAAACGCAAAGCUGACUGGUACUAAACAACCAUUAAAAAACA
This 2223-nucleotide ribosomal RNA is filed under the name human gut metagenome. RNAcentral's name for it is "bacterial LSU rRNA". It matches the Rfam family "Bacterial large subunit ribosomal RNA", at positions 811 to 2925 of the family's 2925-position model. The record is from RNAcentral.